AGAGCCCACAGAUGCUGGAGUCACCCAGGAACCCAGGCACCAGGACACACUGUAGAGUCAGCUGGAGUCACUCAAUUCCCCAACUACAGAGUCAUAGAGAAGAAACAAGCUGUGACUCUGAGAUGUGACCCAAUUUCUGGACAUGCAUCUCUUUAUUGGUACC
This is a non-coding RNA of Equus caballus (horse), 163 nucleotides long. The record is from RefSeq and is a predicted model, not a curated record. NCBI's taxonomy places the organism in Eukaryota, Metazoa, Chordata, Mammalia, Perissodactyla, Equidae.